AGGAAGGAGAUACCAUAAAUGUGGAUGUGACUUGUCCAGGUGCUACUCUAGCUUUGGCUAUGAUCUACUUAAAAACCAAUAACAGUGUCUCUAGGAAGCCCAGACACAUGGAGAAGUUCUGAGUGUUUUGGCCGAUAGUCCCAGAUGAGGUUCCAGCAACAGCUGGGAUCACCCAUGAGAUGUGAGUGAGGAAGGCUUUGAGAUGGUUUCAGCCCUAGCCACCACUGACCUCAUGAGAGACCACAAGAAAGAGAAUCACCUGGCCAAGCCCAG
RNAcentral lists this long non-coding RNA (273 nucleotides) under Pan troglodytes (chimpanzee). RNAcentral's name for it is "long non-coding RNA NONPTRT010183". The record is from RNAcentral. Lineage: Eukaryota; Metazoa; Chordata; Mammalia; Primates; Hominidae.